Molecule: ribosomal RNA, 468 nt
Filed under: uncultured bacterium
Lineage: Bacteria
Description: partial 16S ribosomal RNA
Rfam family: Bacterial small subunit ribosomal RNA
Source: RNAcentral
GACGAACGCUGGCGGCGUGCUUAACACAUGCAAGUCGAACGGAAAGGCCCUGCUUUUGUGGGGUGCUCGAGUGGCGAACGGGUGAGUAACACGUGAGUAACCUGCCCUUGACUUUGGGAUAACUUCAGGAAACUGGGGCUAAUACCGGAUAGGAGCUCCUGCUGCAUGGUGGGGGUUGGAAAGUUUCGGCGGUUGGGGAUGGACUCGCGGCUUAUCAGCUUGUUGGUGGGGUAGUGGCUUACAAAGGCUUUGACGGGUAGCUGGCCUGAGAGGGUGACCGGCCACAUUGGGACUGAGAUACGGCCCAGACUCCUACGGGAGGCAGCAGUGGGGAAUAUUGCACAAUGGGCGGAAGCCUGAUGCAGCAACGCCGCGUGCGGGAUGACGGCCUUCGGGUUGUAAACCGCUUUCGCCUGUGACGAAGCGUGAGUGACGGUAAUGGGUAAAGAAGCACCGGCUAACUACGUG